RNAcentral lists this ribosomal RNA (301 nucleotides) under uncultured bacterium. RNAcentral describes it as "partial 16S ribosomal RNA". It matches the Rfam family "Bacterial small subunit ribosomal RNA", at positions 509 to 808 of the family's 1533-position model. The record is from RNAcentral.
CAGUCGCCGCGGGAAUACGAAGGGGGCUAGCGUUGCUCGGAAUGACUGGGCGUAAAGGGCGCGUAGGCGGUUUGAACAGUCAGAUGUGAAAUUCCUGGGCUCAACCUGGGGGCUGCAUUUGAUACGUUUAGACUAGAGUGGGGAAGAGGGUCGUGGAAUUCCCAGUGUAGAGGUGAAAUUCGUAGAUAUUGGGAAGAACACCGGUGGCGAAGGCGGCGACUGGUCCUUGACUGACGCUGAGGCGCGAAAGCGUGGGGAGCAAACAGGAUUAGAUACCCCUGUAGUCCCUGUCUCUUAUACC